UACAAAAAGAGAUUUAGAAGCAGCAAAAUAUAAACCAUCCUCUAUAUUGUCACCUAGACUGUCAGCCACUAAGGAAAAGCCUGCCUGAAGAGAAAGGUCUUCGCCUGCUUGUGGAAGGACAGCAAAGAUGGGGCCAGGCUGGCCUCUGGUGGGAGGGAGUUCCAGAGUCUGGGAGCAGCAACGGAGAAUCACCUGGAGCUCAGGACAGUACAGGAAAGCUCUCUAGCAGAGAAUUCUGAGUGACUCAUCAAACUACAAAUUCCAGAAUUCCUUAGGUUAUAGCUUUAGCUGUUAAACUAGUAUCAAACUAAUACAACUGUGGAGUGUGGAAACACUCCAAUGAAAGAAAAGAAAAGUAUCAGAUCAUUUUUAAGAUUCUCCCCUGAAUGUAACUCUCUCUUCUUGCCCACCCGCCCCCAGGCAGUUUGAUGGGGUUGUUUUUUAACAGUCACAAAGACAUCAUCAAGCAAUCCAGUUUUUACCUUGCAGUCUGAUUUGAAACCAUAAUCUUCAGAAGAGGGGGGGGGGAAAUCAUCUCAAAGCUUGGGCAGGUUGUGACUCAUCCAUCAGCUCUUUUUAAAGGCAGGGCUUCCUCAGAUGCUCAGAGGAUAGGAAAUGUCUCCCAAGCAAAAAACUGCUGGCUGCUUUUACAGCGGCAGGUGGCUGACUUUCUGGCUGGUUCUAAGCAUUGUGCAAGGGAAAGAUUCACAUCUUUCCGCUCGUGAAGGAAACGGAGACGUCAGUGUCAAGGUUACCAAGGCAGAGGAUGGAUUAACUGACAAUAUCAAGUUUCCUAGUGAAUGCAACUCCAGAAAAUUGACCAAGAGAUCCAGUUCAUUUGGCAUAUUGCGGUCCAGAGGCCUGGCGAAUCAAGAAACUGACUGUCAGAUUUUCCCAGUAACAACUUCACCACCACUGACAACUAAACCACGAAUCACCACCCAAAAUCCCAGGAAGCAAACUCAUCACAUUAGACCAGCAGUGCCGAGAUGUAGACCAUGGUUUGUGCCUUAUUACCGGUGCAAACCACCACGGACCUUCUUUAAUGCUCUAUUGCCUUGUAACAGAGGUGCCUUUGGUCACAACACCAUUUGUAAUGACAAAUCCCAGAGUGAUGAAUCCUCUGAAGAAAAGAGAGGGAAAAGACACCGACUUCCAAUAGUCCAGAGAAGGAGCAAGACAUCCAUGGAGGAUUGACCUAACUAUCUUAGAGAUCUUCCAAAUACAUUUGUUUCACUUUAUCUGCUGGUUUCUGCACUGAUCUUUCCAGAAAUUUGCAUAGCAACCAAAUGAUGUUCCUCUUCCCUUUUUUCUAUAAUUCCCAACCCCUGGUAUAUUUUUCUUUCAUGCUGCCUUGUACUGCAGAGGUGGUGGGUAGACUUCAGAGCUACAUUGCUUCCCAGAUACUUUAUCACCGAUGCACUACGAGAACCGGCUAAUCAAGAAAGCACAUGGAAGAAGUCUGCUGGACACUGGGAAACGCGAGCCAUACUGCUGCUUCAUAAAGUUCUGGAUGGAGGCGCAGUCUGCAGAGAACUCUACACCCAUAGCAGCCAUGUUAGUAAUACUGCUGUAGCACUUUAAUGUUAAUAUAGUUAACAGUUAUACAUGACCCCUUGUAAAUCCUGCUACAGUAUCUCCCAUAAACAAGUGGCUAAAAAGCAGCAAAGAAAAGGGGAACAAAUACUGCAUCUAAAAGCACCUGCCAUGCCUCUUUCCCCCAUGAUCCAAGGAGAGCAGAAAAUAGAUCUGGAGCUACUGGUAGAUCUCUGAGUCAUUUGCAAUAGACCUAUGGUUUAGCACUCCCAAUUAUGUUAUAGCAGCAGCAGCAACAACAAAAAUGAUUUCGUACUCUAGCCUGUAUUAUACCACUGAAAUUAUGAAGUCUUGGGGUGACUAAGCAUGGUUUUGGUGUGGACUGUGACCUCUGUUCAGUUAUGGGUUGGAAUCAGACUUCUUUCAUGUUAAGUGCAAUCUCUUGCAACUGGAUCCCUUUGGUGGAUGAUGAAAUUCUAAUAGAAAAUGGAAUAGAUCUCGAAGAUGUGAAGUCUUCUCAUAUGAAACUUGAACACAAGAAAUACAAAGCCCAGACCUUUGCCUUUAGAAAGUAAUUGGACAGCUGCAAACCUGCAGGCAAGCUUGCUCACUUUAUAAACCUGAAAGUAACAUGUUAGUUGGUCUUAAUUUGGCAUAUUUGUUAGUGCCAGGCAAGCCUCUCCUGGAGGGAAUAUCCACAGAUCACCUCAGUGCACAGGCAUGUUGGUGUGGCAGCAGCACAGAAUGUUAAAAGCAUACAUCACCACUUUGACAUGUGCUUGGAAAAUGACCAAACACCAAUUAAAUUAUUUCAGUAGCGGUGAGAAAUGCUUCCACUGACUAGUGACAGUCAACAGCCUUGCUGCUGUUAUCUGAGAGGUUACUACAGUUUCUAAACUCGGUUCAAAAGCAACCCUGUUCACCAAGUGGAAGAGACAUUGCCAUCCUUUACAUGCCUACUGAAAAGUCAGUUCCAUUGUGUUCAAAGUGGCAUGCAGGAACAUAUAUAUUUCCCCUCACAUUCUCCGUGUGUUUAAGAUUACAGUCCCCAUUAUCUCCAGCCAAUUGUGGUCCAAUAUACCUGGAAAGGUACCAGGCUGGGGAAGGAUAGUGGGUUCUGGACUAGAGCCUUAAUUCACCAGUGCUGCUGAUGCACGUCUAGCUUUUAAAAUUCUUUCAUUCCUCUGAUGUGGUUUUGUAAAAGGUUUGAAGUUUUUAAAAUGGAUUGUCGAUUCCAGAGGUCUUGAGUAGUAGGUUGCAGAGGGUAUUAAAACAAUAUUUUGAUGUAUAACUCCCAAUGUUUGUGAGAUUCCCCUGUGAACGUUGCAGUUUCUUCUCUUAUUCAGCUAGCAGUGUUUCAAUAAACUUGAUUAUGUUAAAAUAUAUCUUGGUCA
Pogona vitticeps (central bearded dragon) is the source of this 2930-nucleotide long non-coding RNA. Lineage: Eukaryota; Metazoa; Chordata; Lepidosauria; Squamata; Agamidae. The record is from Ensembl.